GACGAACGCUGGCGGCGUGCCUAAUACAUGCAAGUCGAGCGAAGUUUUUCUGGUGCUUGCACUAGAAAAACUUAGCGGCGAACGGGUGAGUAACACGUAAAGAACCUGCCUCAUAGACUGGGACAACUAUUGGAAACGAUAGCUAAUACCGGAUAACAGUAUUUCUCGCAUGAGAGAUAUUUAAAAGUUGGUUAUGCUAACACUAUGAGAUGGCUUUGCGGUGCAUUAGCUAGUUGGUGGGGUAAAGGCCCACCAAGGCGACGAUGCAUAGCCGACCUGAGAGGGUGAUCGGCCACACUGGGACUGAGACACGGCCCAGACUCCUACGGGAGGCAGCAGUAGGGAAUCUUCCGCAAUGGGCGAAAGCCUGACGGAGCAACGCCGCGUGAGUGAAGAAGGAUUUCGGUUCGUAAAGCUCUGUUGUUAGGGAAGAAUGGAUAUGUAGUAACUAUACAUGUAAGAGACGGUACCUAACCGGAAAGCCACGGCUAACUACGUG
RNAcentral lists this ribosomal RNA (499 nucleotides) under uncultured bacterium. RNAcentral's name for it is "partial 16S ribosomal RNA". It matches the Rfam family "Bacterial small subunit ribosomal RNA", at positions 28 to 507 of the family's 1533-position model. The record is from RNAcentral.